UGUAAUAUAUUACUAUUAAAAGAAAUAAAAAUAUAAAAUAUUAUGAUAAAUUGAGAAUAUUAGAAAAAAUGAUUUUCUGACCAAACAAAAAUACAAUAUAUCAUCUCGUCCGGCCAAAUGAUUUUCUAAUCGAGAAAACAAAUCGAAAAAUGUAUUCAAUAUAUAAUCAAAAAACUCAAAAGAAUACAAAAUAAAAUAAAAACAACGAUGCCAUGAAAUAGUCAAAGAAUUACACUAGCUAAUGAAUGAAUAAAAGGAUAGAUGAUACUUAUGUUUGAUUCUUGAUUUUGAUUUUUAUCGGAUGCCAUAAUUGAGAGAAUAGGGUUACAAUAUAUUA
Molecule: small RNA, 337 nt
Filed under: Arabidopsis thaliana (thale cress)
Lineage: Eukaryota; Viridiplantae; Streptophyta; Magnoliopsida; Brassicales; Brassicaceae
Description: ATSL180020
Source: RNAcentral